ACUAAAAAGGCAAAAUUGUCGUAAGGCAGUGACGCAAAGCCACAGAUCCUGACUGAAAAAGGCAGGAUGGCUGGGUUGCAG
Molecule: non-coding RNA, 81 nt
Filed under: uncultured Muricomes sp.
Lineage: Bacteria; Bacillati; Bacillota; Clostridia; Lachnospirales; Lachnospiraceae
Description: Cyclic di-GMP-I riboswitch
Rfam family: c-di-GMP-I riboswitch aptamer
About the family: GEMM was predicted in a large-scale screen for bacterial structured RNA regulatory elements.
Source: RNAcentral